GGACCAGUCAUACUACUGCAACAUCAAGCAAGUCACUGACGAGUGGAUAGACAUCCAAGUGACUUCUUGUCUUGGUCACGCUCAGUACCCUUAUUCUCUAACAAGCACCUGCACUAUCACUUCAGUGUCCCUACACCGUGGACUCAAGUCUCGUCCAUCCAGAAGGAAAGUGAUCUGUGCACUGAUCGGAUCAAUCACCGUCCUCGUGAUGAUCCAUUGAUCAGGAGCAUUUAGAAAUUAAUCACCAAUGAUACAU
This 256-nucleotide long non-coding RNA is filed under the name Phoenix dactylifera (date palm). RNAcentral's name for it is "long non-coding RNA (PDAC_LNC012634)". The record is from RNAcentral. Lineage: Eukaryota; Viridiplantae; Streptophyta; Magnoliopsida; Arecales; Arecaceae.